Molecule: ribosomal RNA, 762 nt
Filed under: uncultured organism
Description: bacterial SSU rRNA
Rfam family: Bacterial small subunit ribosomal RNA
Source: RNAcentral
UAUUCCAUAAUAUCAUUUUUACACAUGUAUUAAUGAUUAAAGCUACGGCGGCAAUAGAUGGGCAUGCGUACCAUUAGCUAGUUGGUGAGGUAACGGCUCACCAAGGUUACGAUGGUUAGGGGGUCUUAAAGGAUGAUCCCCCACACUGGUACUGAGACACGGACCAGACUCCUACGGGAGGCAGCAGUGAGGAAUAUUGGGCAAUGGACGCAAGUCUGACCCAGCCAUGCCGCGUGCAGGAUGACUGCUCUAGUAGUUGUAAACUGCUUUUCUAUUUCAUGAACCCCUCUGACGUGUCAGGGGCUGACAGUAGAAUAGGAAUAAGCAUCGGCUAACUCCGUGCCAGCAGCCGCGGUAAUACGGAGGAUGCAAGCGUUAUCCGGAUUUACUAGGUUUAAAGGGUGCGUAGGCGGGGUAUCAAGUCAGUGGUGAAAUCCUGCAGCUCAACUGUAGAACUGCCAUUGAAACUGAUAUUCUUGAGUAUAGUUGAGGUAGGCGGAAUGUGUUAAGUAGCGGUGAAAUGCAUAGAGAUAACACAGAACACCGAUUGCGAAGGCAGCUUACUAAACUAUUACUGACGCUGAGGUACGAAAGCGUGGGGAGCGAACAGGAUUAGAUACCCUGGUAGUCCACGCCGUAAACGUUGAUCACUAGUUGUUUGCGAUACAUUGUGAGCGACUGAACAAAAGCAUUAAGUGAUCCACCUGGGGAGUACGUUGGCAACGAUGAAACUCCAAGGAAUUGACGCGGGCCCGCACAAGC